Molecule: long non-coding RNA, 340 nt
Filed under: Malus domestica (apple)
Lineage: Eukaryota; Viridiplantae; Streptophyta; Magnoliopsida; Rosales; Rosaceae
Description: long non-coding RNA (MDOM_LNC003900)
Source: RNAcentral
CCUAAACGACCCUGUACUACUAGCAGCAACUCCGCUCUGUUGGGGCUGACCCCCCUGAUACCACUGAGAUCCGCUAGCUGGCAUAGACGGAUAUGAAGUAUAACCUCCUUGAUCCUGAGAAUAUCCACUCUGAAAAUAAGGAUCCUGGGAAUAGUGAUACUGUCCCGGAGCAUAAGGAGCAGCAUCACCCUGAUAGUGAUAAGCACCACCACGACCACCCUGGCCAUAACUGCCUGAAUUAAAGUUCUGUUGAGUCGGUGCUGGUGUUGGCCUAACAGGCUGUUGGGGCCUCUGCUGAUUCUGGGGACAAUACAUAGCUCUAUGUCCUGUCUGACCACAU